CGUGCGUGCGCUCGUCCUCGUCCUCUUCGGGCUUGGGCCGGGUAACUGACGGAAACCCGGCCUGAACCCGGUCGGUUCUGCUCGAAUUGGACCGGUCUUGGGCCUAAGGCUGAGUUGGAAAGAGGAAGUCACGCCGCCAACUCCUCUAGCUGAACUAUCAAAAUGAACUCAAGUUAAGAGGCUGGCUGUUUGAGGAAGCUCAAGAUUAAGAUAAGCAGCAGCUAGGUAGUUACUCCCUUGGUCAUAUAGAAAACAAAUUUAAAACUGGAUGUAACAAAUUCUAGUAUAAUGAAUCUGGACAGUCUUAAUAUGUCACAUUCAUUUGUUUUUUGUGGGACAAAGGAAGUACUCCCUCCUUAUAUAAAUCUUAGACCUAUUUCUUUUUCAUCAAUACCAAAAAGCAAUUAACUCAUACAUCAUGUGGCAAAAAUAAUGGACAUGCAACCAAUAAGUACGAAUGACUUCUUGAUUUUUGAUCAACAAUUUAAUUUAGCACAUAGUAACUACAAAUAAGACUUAGAUUUUUUGAAAAACCAAAUAAUGAAAUAGGUCUAAGAUUUUUAGAAGGAUGGAGUAGAUUCUGAGAAUUAAAAAAAGCUGUGUUUUUAGCUUCUAGUUCAUUUUAUGAAUCUACAGCUACAGUUUCUCAAAAAUUAAACAAAAAGUUGAACUGUUUGGGAAGUUUCUGAUUGUAGGAGAAGUUACAGUUGCCAGAAACCCCUCCAAACAUGCUCUUAGUGUUGAGCUCAAUAUGAUAAUUUGGGAUAGGCUUAGACAUAUACUCCUACAGGGGCGUCCAGGGGGCCCGUGCGGGCCGUGCGACCGAAUAGGGCCCCCAAAUUUUAAGGACCCCUAAAAUAUUAAGUAUGCCCUAUAUAUAAUAAUAUUAGAGGCUUUAAUUUUAUU
Non-coding RNA from Oryza sativa Japonica Group (Japanese rice), 906 nucleotides. The record is from RefSeq and is a predicted model, not a curated record. Lineage: Eukaryota; Viridiplantae; Streptophyta; Magnoliopsida; Poales; Poaceae.